RNAcentral lists this ribosomal RNA (540 nucleotides) under uncultured bacterium. RNAcentral describes it as "bacterial SSU rRNA". It matches the Rfam family "Bacterial small subunit ribosomal RNA", at positions 139 to 692 of the family's 1533-position model. The record is from RNAcentral.
UGGGAUAACACCGGGAAACCGGUGCUAAUACCGAAUAUUGAAACAUAAGUGGCAUCACUGAGUUUUGAAAGAAUUUCGGUGGAGGAUGACUUCGCGGCCUAUCAGCUAGUUGGUGAGGUAAUGGCUCACCAAGGCAACGACGGGUAGCCGGCCUGAGAGGGCGACCGGCCACACUGGGACUGAGACACGGCCCAGACUCCUACGGGAGGCAGCAGUGGGGAAUAUUGGGCAAUGGAGGAAACUCUGACCCAGCGACGCCGCGUGCGGGAUGAAGGCCUUCGGGUUGUAAACCGCUUUCAGUAGGGAAGAAGCGAAAGUGACGGUACCUACAAAAGAAGCACCGGCUAACUAUGUGCCAGCAGCCGCGGUAAUACAUAGGGUGCAAGCGUUGUCCGGAAUUAUUGGGCGUAAAGAGCUCGUAGGUCGUUUGUUACGUCGGAUGUGAAAACCUGAGGCUCAACCUCAGGCCUGCAUUCGAUACGGGCAAACUAGAGUUUGGUGGGGGAGACUGGAAUUCCUGGUGUAGCGGUGGAAUGCGCA